CCUACGGGUGGCAGCAGUGAGGAAUAUUGGUCAAUGGCCGGAAGCCUGAACCAGCCAUGCCGCGUGAAGGUCAGUGCCCUAUGGGCUUUAAACUUCUUUUGUGCGGGAGCAAUAAUGGUCACGUGUGGCCAGACGAGAGUACCGUACGAAUAAGCAUCGGCUACCUCCGUGCCAGCAGCCGCGGUAAUACCGGCGAUGCAAGCGUUUUCCGGGUUUAUUGGGGUUAAAGGGUGCGUAGGCUGUGAGGUAAGUCAGCGGUGAAAUGCCCCCGCUUAACGGGGUGAAGUGCCAUUGAUACUGCCUUGCUGGAGUGCGGAGGACGUGGGAGGAAUGUGUGGUGUAGCGGUGAAAUGCAUAGAUAUCACACAGAACACCGAUUGCGAAGGCAUCUCACGAAUCCGCGAUUGACGCUGAUGCACGAAAGCGUGGGUAUCAAACAGGAUUAGAUACCCCUGUAGUC
Molecule: ribosomal RNA, 460 nt
Filed under: uncultured bacterium
Lineage: Bacteria
Description: partial 16S ribosomal RNA
Rfam family: Bacterial small subunit ribosomal RNA
Source: RNAcentral